This 329-nucleotide unclassified non-coding RNA is filed under the name soil metagenome. RNAcentral's name for it is "partial contains 5.8S ribosomal RNA, internal transcribed spacer 2, and large subunit ribosomal RNA". The stretch from base 1 to 120 matches the Rfam family "5.8S ribosomal RNA", at positions 35 to 154 of the family's 154-position model. The record is from RNAcentral.
GAUGAAGAACGUAGCUAAAUGCGAUAAGUAAUGUGAAUUGCAGAAUUCAGUGAAUCAUCGAAUCUUUGAACGCACAUUGCGCCCCCUGGUAUUCCGGGGGGCAUGCCUGUCCGAGCGUCAUUACAACCCUCAAGCUCAGCUUGGUGUUGGGCCCCGCCGCCCCGGCGGGCCCUAAAGUCAGUGGCGGUGCCGUCCGGCUCCGAGCGUAGUAAUUCUUCUCGCUCUGGAGGUCCGGUCGUGUGCUCGCCAGCAACCCCCAAUUUUUUUCAGGUUGACCUCGGAUCAGGUAGGGAUACCCGCUGAACUUAAGCAUAUCAAUAAGCGGAGGA